Molecule: non-coding RNA, 92 nt
Organism: Mycena filopes
Lineage: Eukaryota; Fungi; Basidiomycota; Agaricomycetes; Agaricales; Mycenaceae
Source: the annotation of a GenBank genome assembly
UCGGAUGUGGUGCAGGGCAGCACGGCUUCCCUUUCUGGGACUUCCUUACGGUUAGGCGGAGGCAAACUCGGGUUCAAUUCCCGGCGUCCGAG